RNAcentral lists this ribosomal RNA (253 nucleotides) under uncultured bacterium. RNAcentral's name for it is "partial 16S ribosomal RNA". It matches the Rfam family "Bacterial small subunit ribosomal RNA", at positions 524 to 776 of the family's 1533-position model. The record is from RNAcentral.
UACGAAGGGUGCAAGCGUUACUCGGAAUCACUGGGCGUAAAGCGUGCGUAGGCGGUUUCUUAAGUCUGUCGUGAAAGCCCUGGGCUCAACCUGGGAAUGGCGAUGGAUACUGGGAGGCUAGAGUGUGAUAGAGGAUGGUGGAAUUCCCGGUGUAGCGGUGAAAUGCGUAGAGAUCGGGAGGAACACCAGUGGCGAAGGCGGCGAUCUGGGUCGAUACUGACGCUGAGGUGCGAAAGCGUGGGGAGCGAACAGG